CACGUAGGGGACGAGCGUUGUCCGGAUUCAUUGGGCGUAAAGCGCGCGUAGGCGGCUCGGAAAGUCGGGCGUGAAAUGCCGGGGCUCAACCCCGGGACUGCGUCCGAUACUUCCGAGCUGGAGGUAGGUAGGGGAGAUCGGAAUUCCUGGUGUAGCGGUGAAAUGCGCAGAUAUCAGGAAGAACACCAAUGGCGAAAGCAGCUCUCUGGGACGGUACUGACGCUGAGACGCGAAAGCGUGGGGAGCGAACAGG
This 253-nucleotide ribosomal RNA is filed under the name uncultured bacterium. Its description in RNAcentral is "partial 16S ribosomal RNA". It matches the Rfam family "Bacterial small subunit ribosomal RNA", at positions 524 to 776 of the family's 1533-position model. The record is from RNAcentral.